Molecule: ribosomal RNA, 465 nt
Filed under: uncultured bacterium
Lineage: Bacteria
Description: partial 16S ribosomal RNA
Rfam family: Bacterial small subunit ribosomal RNA
Source: RNAcentral
CCUACGGGUGGCAGCAGUGGGGAAUAUUGCGCAAUGGGCGAAAGCCUGACGCAGCGACGCCGCGUGAGGGAUGAAGGUCCUCGGAUCGUAAACCUCUGUCAGCAGGGAAGAACGGUCACUGUGCUAAUCAGCAGUGAAUUGACGGUACCUGCAAAGGAAGCACCGGCUAACUCCGGGCCAGCAGCCGCGGUAAUACGGGGGGUGCGGACGUUACUCGGAAUUUCUGGGGGUAAAGCGCUCGUAGGCGGUAUGUUAAGGCAAGGGGGAAAUCCCCGCGCUCAACGUGGGAACUGCCUUUGAAACUGGCAAACUUGAGUGUGUGAGAGGAUAGUGGAAUUCCAGGUGUAGGAGUGAAAUCCGUAGAUAUCUGGAGGAACAUCAGUGGCGAAGGCGACUAUCUGGCACAUAACUGACGCUGAGGAGCGAAAGCGUGGGUAGCAAACAGGAUUAGAUACCCUUGUAGUC